RNAcentral lists this ribosomal RNA (492 nucleotides) under uncultured bacterium. Its description in RNAcentral is "partial 16S ribosomal RNA". It matches the Rfam family "Bacterial small subunit ribosomal RNA", at positions 29 to 507 of the family's 1533-position model. The record is from RNAcentral.
AGUGAACGCUGGCGGUAGGCCUAACACAUGCAAGUCGAACGGCAGCACAGUAAGAGCUUGCUCUUACGGGUGGCGAGUGGCGGACGGGUGAGGAAUACAUCGGAAUCUACUUUUUCGUGGGGGAUAACGUAGGGAAACUUACGCUAAUACCGCAUACGACCUACGGGUGAAAGCAGGGGAUCUUCGGACCUUGCGCGAUUGAAUGAGCCGAUGUCGGAUUAGCUAGUUUGCGGGGUAAAGGCCUACCAAGGCGACGAUCCGUAGCUGGUCUGAGAGGAUGAUCAGCCACACUGGAACUGAGACACGGUCCAGACUCCUACGGGAGGCAGCAGUGGGGAAUAUUGGACAAUGGGCGCAAGCCUGAUCCAGCCAUACCGCGUGAGUGAAGAAGGCCUUCGGGUUGUAAAGCCCUUUUGUUGGGAAAGAAAAGCAGCAGAUUAAUACCCCGCUGUUCUGACAGUACCCAAAGAAUAAGCACCGGCUAACUUCGUG